AGUCUGUGAAUGUGUGAACAGCCGGGUUGUGCCAGUUUUGUGACAUGUCAUGUCAUGAUGUGCCAGUUUUUUCAGCUAUUAAAGAGUGUGCUCGAUCAGCUUAAAUUCAGUGAAAAUCUAUUUAAAAAGUGGUUUCCCUAGUGAUUUCGUCAAGGAUUCUUGUAAGGAAGUGAGUGUAUCCUGAGGAAAUGUUCUUUUUAUCGUUAGGAGCUCCUUCUACAAUCUCCUUCAGCACAACUUCAUCGAACAAUUUGGGCCAGUUUCUUCAAGGAUUUCCUGCAAAAUUCGGGAAUAUCAGUGUAGGUAGCACUGGUGAUGAUGCAGGUGGUGGAAGUGCCUCUCAUUUGAGCUCCAGACAACAGCAAGCAGCCCGUGGAACAAGCAAUCCCCCAAAGUUGGACAUCUUUUUCAUUGACCUUUUGACAGAAAAUGACAUCGAAAUAGACGAGCUACUGCAUAUGUAUGAUUUGGAUGCGCUAUCUUAAUAAAUGCACCUAAUAAAUUGCGCAUACAAUUUAAAAUGGAAUUAAAAUUAUGGAGAAAGAGUUUCCGUGACUAUCUCGUAAUACAUCGUGGCAUUGCAGAGACGAGUAUCCUGAUAUGAAAAACUGCAAUUUCAUACUGCUUUUCCAUGGAUUGCUUAAACCAGACCAGGAUAUGGAGGAAGGCAAGUUAUUCAAAUGUACAAUCAAAGACUGUUAGGAAAGCAUGGUAAUCAUCAUAGACAGUUAUUGAGUUAAAUGUUCCGGCGAAAAUAUUGUGUUCUUACAUGAAUUAAUACAGUGAAUUAAUAAAAAUAAUAUCAAUACAUUACCAAAGAAUUAAAUCUUUUGAUCAAUUGAAGUUCGAAAAGAAGAAAAACAAGCUACAAAGAAAGAUACUGAUAGAAAAGGGCAGACGCCUACCACCAAAACUUCUGAGAUCAAAUUAAUAUUGCUACUAAAAAUUGAGAAAAAAUAAAUGAGCAGUAAAAAGUUGAAAGUGAUCAGUACAAAAUUAAAUUUAAUCAAAACAAAAAUUCGAAAUGAUCAAUAAAAAUAUAAAAUUUUGUCAAUAAAAAGUAAAAUUUUGUCAGUAAAAAGUUAAAUUUGGUCAGUUAAAUCUUCGGAUCGAUCAGUAGAAAUAUUCGAGUUAAACAGUAAAAAAUACUGAAUGAUUAGCAAAAACUUAAAAGUGGUCAGUGAAAAGAAAAUAUGAUCAGAAAAAAAAAUAAAAAUGAGCAGUAGAAAUAUCCGAGUUGAUCAGCAAAAAAUUAAAACUAAGCAGUCAAAAUUAAAAAGUGUUCAGCAAAAAAUUAAACCUGAUCAGUAGAAAUAUUCGAAAUUAUCAGUGAAAAACUAAACAGUGAUCAGCGAAAAUUCAAAAAUGAGCACUAGAAAAUAAAAAGUGGUCAAUAAAAAAAUAAAAGUGUGCAGUAAAAAAUAAAAUGUGGUCAGCAACAAAUAAAAAGUGGUCAGCAAAAAAAAUUAAAAGUGGUCAGUAAUCAAGAAAUCGCACCUCAAUAAGCUGAUUAGGCUUAUCAUUGGCUCCUUUUACUGACGACAUUUAUUUUCUACUGCUCAUUUUAUUUUUUUUUGCUUUUUUUUACUGACCAAUUUUUUUUACUGACCAGUUUAAUUUAUUACUGACCAGAAUGAAUAUUUUUUCUGUCCAUUUGUAAUAUUUGCUGCUCAUUUUUCAAUUUUAGUUGAUCGUUUCUUAUUUUUUACUGGUCAUACUUAAUUAUUUUACUGACCACUUCAUUUUUACUGGCCAGUUUUUAGUUUUUACUAAUAACUUUUCAUUUUCUAUUUUUAAUUAACUUUUUUUUAAUUUUUCACUGAUCAACUAGAAUAUUUCUACUGCUCAUUUUGAAUUUCUUUCUCAUCAGUUUUUAUUUUCUACUAUUCAUUUUUAAUUUUUUGCUGUAUUUUUUUUAAGUCUUUUGUUGCUCAUUUGUAAUUUUUUACUGAUCAAUUUGAAUAUUUUUUCUGCUCAUUUUUAAUAUUUUACUGCUCGUUUUUAAUUUUUUUACUGUUUUUUUUUUUAAUUUCUUACUGAUCAUCUUUUACAUUUCACUGAUCACGUUUUACUUUUUAUUAACCACUUUUCUCAUUUUUUGCUGACCGCUUUUAAUAAAACUGCUCUUUUUUAAAUUUUUCACUGCCUUUUUUUACUUUUUACAGCCCUUUUUUUAAUUUUUUACUGACGAUUUCUUUAAAUUUUACAUAUCAUUUCGAUUUUUUUGCUGACCAUAUUUGACUUUUUACUGCUCGUUUAUUCAAUGCCCUAAAAUUUAUCCUUUAAUGUUUUGUGAUUAUUCUAGAAAAUCCUAAAAUUUAGUUUUCAGUUUCUAAAACAAACCGAGCAGAUUUCUAAGAAUUGAUACUGCAAAAUCUCUAAAAUCAAUCCGAGAAUUAUGAAAAUUAAAUAUUCUGUUAAUAAAAUCAACUUAAAGCAAUCUUGAAUUGAUUUUGGAAAAUUUAUAAAUUGAUCCAAAUAAAUUAAUAAAAUCAAUCCGAAAAUUUCUAAAAAUAAGUGAACAGUUUCUAAAUUCAAAACUUUUUGAAAUGAUUCCAUAUAAUUUCUAAAAUCAAUCCGAAAAUUUCUAAAAAUAAGUAUAUAGUUUCUAAAUUCAACCCGAAAGGUUUCUAAAAUUGAUCCUAUACAAUUUCUAAAAUCAAUCCGAAAAUUUCUGAAAAUAAGUAUAUAGUUUCUAUAUUCAAUCCGGGAGGCUUCUAGAAUUGAUCCUAUGUAAUUUCUAAAAUCAAUCCGAAAAUUUCUAAAAAUAAGUAUGUAGUUUCUAAGUUCAACCCGAGAGAGUUCUAGAAUUGAUUCUAUGUAUUUUCUAAAAUCAAUCCUAAAAUUUCUAAAAAUAAGUAUGUAGUUUCUAAGUUCAACCCGAGAGAGUUCUAGAAUUGAUCCUAUGUAAUUUCUAAAAUCAAUCCGAAAAUUUCUAAAAAUAAGUAUGUAGUUUCUAAGUUCAACCCGAGAGAGUUCUAGAAUUGAUCCUAUGUAAUUUCUAAAAUCAAUCCGAAAAUUUCUAAAAAUAAGUAUGUAGUUUCUAAAUUCAACCCGAGAGGGUUCUAGAAUUGAUCCCAUGCUAUUUCUAAAAUCAAUCCUAAAAUUUCUAAAAAUAAGUAUAAUAGUUUCUAAAUACAACCCAGGAGAUUUCUAAAAUUGAUCCCAUGCAAUUUCUAAAAUCAAUGUAAAAAUUUCUGAAAAUAAGUAUUAGUUUCUAAAUUCAACCCAGGAGGUUUCUCGAAUCGAUCCCAUGAAAUUUCUAAAAUCAACCCGAAAAUUUCUGAAAAUAAGUAUAUAGUUUCUAAAUUCAACCCAAGAGGUUUCUGGAAUUGA
Phlebotomus papatasi is the source of this 3336-nucleotide long non-coding RNA. RefSeq lists it as uncharacterized. The transcript is spliced from 4 exons. NCBI's taxonomy places the organism in Eukaryota, Metazoa, Arthropoda, Insecta, Diptera, Psychodidae. The record is from RefSeq and is a predicted model, not a curated record.